UGGCCGAUGGUCCAUCUUUUGGGUAGGAUAAAGAGGUUGAAGAAAGAGAGAUUACGACCAGACUAUGAGAGUCAUAAGCCGGAGUAAGCUUGGUGCUACCUCUUUGUUUUCUUUGCUUUUAUUAUUUGCUUAUGAAGAAUUGUGAUUGAGAGAAGUAUUGUUGAAAUUGUGAUUAGAAUAUUGUGGAAUAUGACUUUGAAUUGACCAUUUUGGAGAAAAUCU
This 222-nucleotide long non-coding RNA is filed under the name Physcomitrium patens. RNAcentral describes it as "long non-coding RNA (PPAT_LNC005504)". The record is from RNAcentral. Lineage: Eukaryota; Viridiplantae; Streptophyta; Bryopsida; Funariales; Funariaceae.